UACGUAGGGGGCAAGCGUUAUCCGGAUUCACUGGGUGUAAAGGGAGCGUAGACGGCCAUGCAAGUCUGGAGUGAAAGCCCGGGGCCCAACCCCGGGACUGCUCUGGAAACUGCGGCGCUGGAGUACGGGAGGGGCAGGCGGAAUUCCUGGUGUAGCGGUGAAAUGCGUAGAUAUCAGGAGGAACACCGGCGGCGAAGGCGGCCUGCUGGACCGUGACUGACGUUGAGGCUCGAGAGCGUGGGGAGCAAACAGG
Molecule: ribosomal RNA, 253 nt
Filed under: uncultured bacterium
Lineage: Bacteria
Description: partial 16S ribosomal RNA
Rfam family: Bacterial small subunit ribosomal RNA
Source: RNAcentral